CACGUAUGGGGCGAGCGUUGUUCGGAAUUACUGGGCGUAAAGGGCGUGUAGGCGGUUUAGCAAGCCUGGUGUGAAAGUCUCCGGCCCAACCGGGGGAUGGCACUGGGAACUGCUAGGCUUGAGUCCUGGAGGGGGAGCUGGAAUUCCUGGUGUAGGGGUGAAAUCUGUAGAGAUCAGGAAGAACACCGGUGGCGAAGGCGGGCUCCUGGCCAGGUACUGACGCUGAGGCGCGAAAGCGUGGGGAGCGAACAGG
Molecule: ribosomal RNA, 253 nt
Filed under: uncultured bacterium
Lineage: Bacteria
Description: partial 16S ribosomal RNA
Rfam family: Bacterial small subunit ribosomal RNA
Source: RNAcentral